Gasterosteus aculeatus aculeatus (three-spined stickleback) is the source of this 448-nucleotide long non-coding RNA. Lineage: Eukaryota; Metazoa; Chordata; Actinopteri; Perciformes; Gasterosteidae. The record is from Ensembl.
AGUGGUUGCUAUGGUGUUCUGCUGUGUUAGAGUUGUGCUAGGUUGUUAAGUGGUUGCUGUUGUGUUCUGCUGGGUUAGAGUUGUGCUAGGUUGUUAAGUGGUUGCUAUGGUGUUCUGCUGGGUUAGGGUUGUGCUAGGUUGUUAAGUGGUUGCUAUGGUGUUCUGCUGGGUUAGGGUUGUGCUUGGUUGUUAAGUGGUUGCUAUGGUGUUCUGCUGGGUUAGGGUUGUUCUAGGUGGUUAAGUGGUUGCUAUGGUGUUCCAGGCGGUUUGGCAUUUGAGGUGGUUUGCAUUGAAAUUUGGUUUUCACAAAAUACAUCGUAUCAAACAUGCAGUUGCAAUGUUUGAUGCAGUUGCAAUGAUUGAUACGGUGUAUUUUGUGUUUUGUGGUCAAUGCGGAAGUAGUGCGCGUAGUGGCAAAAAUGAUGGCGGGACUUGUGAUUUAUGGAGG